Molecule: ribosomal RNA, 253 nt
Filed under: uncultured bacterium
Lineage: Bacteria
Also listed under: 1 other name
Description: partial 16S ribosomal RNA
Rfam family: Bacterial small subunit ribosomal RNA
Source: RNAcentral
UACGUAGGGUGCGAGCAUUAAUCGGAUUUAUUGGGCGUAAAGGGCGCGUAGGCGGGGAUGUAAGUCAGACGUGAAAUCCCGGGGCUCAACCCCGGAACAGCAUUUGAAACUGCAUCUCUAGAGGGUAGGCGGAGAAAACGGAAUUCCACAAGUAGCGGUGAAAUGCGUAGAUAUGUGGAAGAACACCAGUGGCGAAGGCGGUUUUCUAGCUUAUACCUGACGCUAAGGCGCGAAAGCAAGGGGAGCAAACAGG